This is a long non-coding RNA of Passer domesticus (house sparrow), 2139 nucleotides long. RefSeq lists it as uncharacterized. The transcript has 4 exons. NCBI's taxonomy places the organism in Eukaryota, Metazoa, Chordata, Aves, Passeriformes, Passeridae. The record is from RefSeq and is a predicted model, not a curated record.
GGUUGGCUUUGUGUGUGUGUGUGUAUGUGUGAUGUGGUGGUGUGUGGAUCUGUUUUGUUGGGUUUUCUCCUUGUUUAUUUAUCGAUUUGGUAUGGUGUUGGCCCUGGGAAUACAAUCAAAAAUUGUUUAAUCUUUCUAAAAAAUCUAUUCUACAAUGUAUUUCAGCUCAGUUACACUUUCCUGAAUGAUAAAUUAAAACACUGUGGAGUUCUAAACAAGCUGAAAGCUCCCCCUGCUGUUUCAGAGCGCUAGGAGAUGACUCAUGCCUUUGGAUUUUUUUAUUUGAAAGACAAAAUCAGAAGCUUAAAAUGAGCUAAUGGUCAAAAAAUGUUUAUUUCAGUGAUGACAUUUUCAGCUGAUGAAAGGCAGAAUAUGUGUGCAUUAGUAUUCACUUACUGUAAGAAUCAUUACAGAUAGAAAGAAGCUCCUUUAGUUAAACUAAAUGAGGAAAAAUGUUAACUAUAAAAUCCUUUUUUUGAAUUGCACCACUACUUAAUAUAGGAAGAAAUAUUCAAGGUAUUUGAGUCACACUUUACCCUUUAUUGUUAAGGUUAUACAUAUAUUCUGGUUAAAGUCAAUUAGCAUUCUCUGAAGAUUACACUUUUGAUAGUAUUGGGUAGUUUAUUGUAGCAAUACUAUAUUCUAUAAAUGGUGCUCUGACACAAUCUGUCUUAGCUACUGUGUUGAAGGAAAACAUACAUAUCUGAGAUAGAUGCCUUUUGUUCUUCAUAUUAACAAUGGGCUCCUAUUAUCCAUAAAAUCCAAAAGUCAGUUGGUGGAGGGAUAGGUACAGCUGAAGGGCAUAUUUUUAGCCAGAUUUUUAUUUAAGGAGAAUACCAACAUUAUUUUGCAAUUUAUUAUACAAAAAGCAUACUGUGCUUGGACUAGGUUGCAAAUUACACUUGUGCAAUACAACAUAAACCAGAGAAAUUGUGUUGAUGAGAAUGAGAGGAAACCAUCUGAAUUGUAUGCAGAGAGAAGAAACAAAGUGGAUCUUCAAUACUUUUUCUAAUUCCUGUAUCGUGUUUCUGAUGACUUUCACAGGGGGAGUAGCAUCACAAUUCUUACUUUUCCUGUUUUUUAUUCUCCUUGAAAUGCUGAUCACACAUCACCAUCUUGACAUGUCAGCCAAACAUGUAACAGGAUAUUCAGGCAUUCCUGGGAACGGGGACCUGUGGUCACAGCUUUCUGCUGCUCCUUCCUCCUCACACUUUAUCCAGCUCCAGUGCGAGACCUCUCCAGAGGCUGCAGUACUUUGGGAUAAACUUGCUCCAGUGCGGGUUUUCCACAGUCUGCAGUGUUCCAGGAAAUAUUCCCCGUGUCUGGUGUUGAGCGGUCCCUGUGGCCGCAGGGACAGCGCAGCCGGGCCGGGCUCUGUGCCAGGCCGCAGGGCCAUCCCUGCCGGGCCUCUCCUGCCCCGUCCCUGCUCCCGCUGUCCCCUCGGGGCUCGCAGCGCUGUUUCUCGCUCGCUUCCCCUGGCUCAGCCCUGGCUGCCGGGCAGCGUUUUGCCCUCCCUUGGCCAGGCUUUCCCCGGGGCUGAGGGGCUCAGCCGUGCCCUGCGCUGGGGCCGCUGCAGCCGCCGGCACCGCCUGGGGCCGGCCCGGGCAGCAGAUGAGUUGUAGUGCUCACACCAUCCCUCUGGUCAGCUGCCAGCCACCCCAGUGAUGUCCCCUUCCAACCUCCUGUGUAUCCCGGACUACUCACUUUGAGCAGGUUUUGCAUUUAUAUAUGAAUAUACAUGCAUUUAUAUAUGAACAGAGAUGAACAAAGGGCAAAUUGGAGUUAAUAUUUUGAUGGAUCUGCAAGGCAAGAAGAAUGAAACACUCUAACUUUCAUGAGAGAAAAAUAAGCUCCAGAAACAGUGACAUGACAUAUAUUUAUAUAGUCAUUAAAAUACACCAGUUAAAGCUCCUGCCUCUGACAUGUUGAUCAAAAGGUUGAGAGAAAAAAGCCUGAUCAAUCAUAUUACCAUUAGUUCAUUUCCAGAAAUAGCAGUGCAAGGAAUGAAUGAAUAUUGACUAAUGAAGGCAAGAACUGUUGCUUGCAUGACAUAAGUAUGAUUCUGCAUUAUAUAAACAAGCUUAUUUCUGCAACAGAGUUUGUUAAAGGGAAAUGUGUAACUAAAAAUUCUGUAAACUA